RNAcentral lists this ribosomal RNA (538 nucleotides) under Pichia manshurica. RNAcentral's name for it is "partial large subunit ribosomal RNA". It matches the Rfam family "Eukaryotic large subunit ribosomal RNA", at positions 71 to 635 of the family's 3401-position model. Lineage: Eukaryota; Fungi; Ascomycota; Pichiomycetes; Pichiales; Pichiaceae. The record is from RNAcentral.
GGGAUUGCCCCAGUAGCGGCGAGUGAAGCGGCAAGAGCUCAGAUUUGAAAUCGUGUUUCGGCACGAGUUGUAGAGUGUAGGCGGGAGUCUCUGUGGAGCGCGGUGUCCAAGUCCCUUGGAACAGGGUGCCUGAGAGGGUGAGAGCCCCGUAGGGUGCUGCGCGAAGCUUUUGAGGCCCUGCUGACGAGUCGAGUUGUUUGGGAAUGCAGCUCCAAGCGGGUGGUAAAUUCCAUCUAAGGCUAAAUAUUGGCGAGAGACCGAUAGCGAACAAGUACUGUGAAGGAAAGAUGAAAAGCACUUUGAAAAGAGAGUGAAACAGCACGUGAAAUUGUUGAAAGGGAAGGGUAUUGGGCUCGACAUGGGGGGUGCGCACCGCUGUCUCUUGUAGGCGGCGCUCUGGGCGCCCUCUGGGCCAGCAUCGGUUCCUGCUGCGGGAGAAGGGGCUCCGGAAAGUGGCUCUUCGGAGUGUUAUAGCCGGGGCCAGAUGCCGCGUGUGGGGACCGAGGACUGCGGCUUCUGUCUCGGAUGCUGGCAUAAC